GGGGAUGUGGCUCAGCAGUAGAGUGCUUGCCUAACAUGCAUGAGGCCCUGGGUUCAACCCCCAGCACCACAA
RNAcentral lists this transfer RNA (72 nucleotides) under Urocitellus parryii (Arctic ground squirrel). RNAcentral describes it as "Spermophilus parryii (Arctic ground squirrel) tRNA". It matches the Rfam family "tRNA". Rfam says of the family: Transfer RNA (tRNA) molecules are approximately 80 nucleotides in length. Their secondary structure includes four short double-helical elements and three loops (D, anti-codon, and T loops). Lineage: Eukaryota; Metazoa; Chordata; Mammalia; Rodentia; Sciuridae. The record is from Rfam by way of RNAcentral. RNAcentral also lists the same sequence under 2 other names.